Molecule: ribosomal RNA, 1526 nt
Filed under: uncultured prokaryote
Description: partial 16S ribosomal RNA
Rfam family: Bacterial small subunit ribosomal RNA
Source: RNAcentral
AGAGUUUGAUCAUGGCUCAGAACGAACGCUGGCGGCGUGCCUAACACAUGCAAGUCGAACGAGAAAGUCCGCAAGGAUGAGUAGAGUGGCGCACGGGUGAGUAACAGAUAGGAACGUACCUACAAAUUUGGGAUAACUAUGGGAAACUGUAGCUAAUACUGGAUAAUGACCGCGAGGUUUAAAGGGGGGCGCGCAAGCGUUUUACUGUUUGUCGAUCGGCCUAUCUCCCAUUAGCUUGUUGGCAGGGUAAUGGCCUACCAAGGCUACGAUGGGUAGCUGGUCUGAGAGGAUGAUCAGCCACACUGGAACUGAGACACGGUCCAGACUCCUACGGGAGGCAGCAGUAGGGAAUAUUGGACAAUGGGGGAAACCCUGAUCCAGCAACGCCGCGUGAGUGAUGAAGGCCUAUGGGUCGUAAAGCUCUUUCGAUUGGGAAGAAGGUAUGGGAGUAAUGAUCUGGAGCUGAAGGUACCAUACAAGAAAGCACCGGCUAACUACGUGCCAGCAGCCGCGGUAAUACGUAGGGUGCUAGCGUUGUUCGGAAUUACUGGGCGUAAAGCGUAUGUAGGCGGCCAUUCAAGUUGGAUGUGAAAGCCCUGGGCUUAACCUGGGAACUGCAGUCGAAACUGAAGAUCUUGAAUAUCUGAGGGGUUGGUGGAAUUCCAGGUGUAGGAGUGAAAUCCGUAGAUAUCUGGAGGAACACCAGAGGCGAAGGCGGCCAACUGGCAGUAUAUUGACGCUGAGGUGCGAAAGCAUGGGGAGCAAACAGGAUUAGAUACCCUGGUAGUCCAUGCCGUAAACGAUGAUUACUAGGUGUUUGGGAUGUUAACCUCCUGAGUACUACAGCUAACGCAUUAAGUAACCCGCCUGGGGAGUACGGUCGCAAGGCUAAAACUCAAAGGAAUUGACGGGGGCCCGCACAAGCGGUGGAGUAUGUGGUUUAAUUCGAAGCAACGCGCAGAACCUUACCUACCCUUAACAUCCCGGGGCGCAUGCAGAGAUGUAUGUUUCUCUUCGGAGACUCGGUGAUAGGUGCUGCAUGGCUGUCGUCAGCUCGUGUCGUAAGAUGUUCGGUUAAGUCCGGUAACGAGCGCAACCCUUAUCCUUAGUUACCAGCAUUAAGUUGGGGACUCUGGGGAGACUGCCGGUGUUAAACCGGAGGAAGGCGGGGAUGACGUCAAGUCCUCAUGGCCCUUACGGGUAGGGCUACACACGUACUACAAUGGCGGAAACAAACCCGUUGCGAAGCCGCGAGGUGGAGCCAAUCGGUAAAACACCGUCUCAGUCCGGAUUGAAGUCUGCAACUCGACUUCAUGAAGCUGGAAUCGCUAGUAAUCGCUGAUCAGCAAGCAGCGGUGAAUACGUUCCCGGGCCUUGUACACACCGCCCGUCACACCACGAGAGUGUUCAUAACCAGAAGCACGUGAGCUAACUGCAAAGAGGCAGCGUACCAAGGUUGUGGCUGCGAUUGGGGUGAAGUCGUAACAAGGUAGCCGUAGGGGAACCUGUGGCUGGAUCACCUCCUU